CCCUUGUAGCAACUAGCACAACUGGUUGCUCAAUAGUGCUGCAAUCAGUAUGCGUUCCUGAAUAAUUUAGGAGGAGAGUAGUCCACCUCACCAAAAACCACUUACCCAGACUGUGAAAGAGCUCAGUCAUUUCUCCUCAUACUCUCUGAAAGAUGAGCCCAAGGGCAAUUAUAGGACCACAAAGGAGUUUGCAGCGGGUGGGCAGUGUGUAUCUACGCUCGAAUAAUCUGCCCUAGAGUGGAUUGUUGGUAGUCAUUUUAAAGUUGUUUGUCAAGUUGGUUACUCAAGAGCAUGUCCCCAGGGACAACUUUGUCACUGAACAAGGCACACACAAAAGCUCUGGGGUAGGGCUUCCACCUCAGGGAAACAUAGAGCUGUUCUCAACCUCUGAGCAGAGGGAAUCAGGCCAGCAGAAAAGCGUGAGUGGAAAGCCAGUUUGGCUAUUAAGGGAACCUGUCGACACAGAGCAGAGCAAGAUAAGGCCAGGUUUCAGAAAGAAUAGCUGUUUACCAUCAAAGCAACUGGGUUCCACACAGACAUGGUAUAUUAUACACAAAGACGAAGAGAAAGAAUGUCUAUCAGAGUGUGGCAGGAUGCAUCCUGCCAGGAUUCUUCUGUUUUCUACAGAAACUGACCAUUUAAAAAAGUCUUUCUAUGAUUGGUGCCACAAUAAAGGUCUCGUACCGGAUUCUGCAACAAAAUGUAAAUUAAUGGAAUGUGAAAAAUGGAAGGACUGCAAGGGAAAGGAUCAAAAGGUGAGAAGGGAAAGGGAGAUUAUUAGAAAAAAAAAAAGUUUAAUAAACACGUAGCAUUCCAAGAAUUUGCCAUGGAAAGAAGCAAUCUCUUUUUAGAUUUCAGGUAAAAAAAAAAAUUACGUAAAUUAUUAUGUAAAGACUUUAAGCAUUUUCCAAACCAUGCCAAGGAAAGAGAAAAAAAAUUACUUCUUAGUCUCCAGCUACUUUUACAUAAUUUAUCUCACUUAAUUGUCAUAAUUAUCCUAUAAAGUGAGCAUUUCUAUUGUUUUUUCAUAUACUACCCAUGCCAGGGUACCUAUGUAUUAGACUCCCAGGUAAUCAGUUCUGUGGACUAAUGCCUCUGCUGGCACAGUCUCUGUAUCCUGUAGCCCUUGCAGAAAUGUUGGAAAUACAUGGCAGGAAGGGCCUGCUGCCUUCCUUGCCCAAACCCUUCCAACAAAGUCAUCAAACAAUAAAUGUAACUGAAGAUGCAUUUUAACCACUGAACUCAAAUUCUCUACACUGCCAAAGUAAAAGCUACUGUUUGUUGACACAUUUACCAUAUGCCGGGAACUAUGCUAAAUCCUUCAUAUGUAUUACGUAAUUCAGUCCUUCCAGCAGCCUGCAAUGUAGGUGCUAUAGUUUUUUUUUCAUUUUCAGAAAUUGAAAUUAAAGAGGUUAUUAGUCACCUGGUAUCACAAACCAAUAAAUGGUAAAAUAUGGCAUUUUUAAUUCCAGAGCUUGAAUUCCUAACUGCCUCAUUCAAAACCCAGUUCUGUUGCAUGUCCUUGAUUUCACUCACAGCCACAGAAGAAAUGGGGCAUGCCCCCUGUUCUGUUUCUCCUAUAACCUCAUCCCAGAACCCGGAGGUCUUUCUCUUCCCAUCGCUGCCCUGUCACUAGCAGGUAUGCUGUGUCAAACAUCCCAGAGAGAUAUUUCUUGAGAUAUAUAGCAUUUCUGCUUAGGUGAUAGGUGAUGGCCACACCGUUACUUGCUGAUCACAGAAGGGCUUAAAACAGGGACAUUAAAUAUUGGAGGAAAUCAUGGAUCACAGAAGUUCACUAACUUGCCUGUCACAUGAGUGUACUAGGAUUGGGAGCUAAUUAGUCACCCUGAUCUGGAUUUGAGACAGGGUAGGAUUGAGAUUUGUGACUUAUAACAUUGAUCAAUUCUUCAGCCUCUUUCCAUUGUACUGAAGGACUGGGCUAUUUGGCUCAGUAUAUUUUGGAUCUGCUACCGUGUUUUCAGUCAUGAGAACCUAUUCUAUGAGGUGAGAGUCCUGCCCAUUAUCUUUUGAGCAGGCCACGUGUCUAACAUAGCUGUGUUGGCCAUACAGGCAAUUUGGAUAACAUCUAUUCUGCCAGCACACUGACAAACUUCCGUGUUAGGGAGGUCACAAAGCAAACUGUUGCACAUUUGUCACUAGACUGUUCUUUGUGUGUAGUUCUCACUUAAUCCUACAGCUGACAACAAGGAGAGCAUCAUGUGUCUAUAGGACAGCCGCUUCCUAGCAUUUGUAUUACAAUUCAAUUUCUCAUGGCAGUGUUUUUGGUUUGUUUUCAAGAUUCCUCCCUCUUCUUUCCACAAGUGAACACCUCUCCUAUUCUAGGAGCUGGGAAUUCAGUAGUGAAUGAGACAGGCAAGGUCCCUGCUGUCAUGGAGUCUGCAUCCUAGUGUAGGUAAUAAGACAAUGAACAAAGUAAUUUUCAAAGCAAACAAAAUAAGGGGUGCUCUGGAGAGCACGUGGAGAUCUGUUGUAGAGGGUUGGUUGAGGAGGGUUUCUCUAAGAGUCAAUGCUCGGCUGAAACUGGAAUGACCAGAUGGAGUCAGCCAGGAGAACACCUGGCAGUGCAUUCCAGGGAGGGAAGACCAAACGCAAUGUCCUAAGAGGCGAAAAGCCUGGCAGGUUCCUGGAAUAGAAAGAAGGUAUGUGGGCCCAAUGUAUAUGGUGGAGCGAGGUAGGAAAUGAGCUCAGAGAGGUUGUCAACACACAGACUGUAUUCAACAUUGGAGGCCCUUAAAGAGUUUGGACGUUGUCCUCAGUAUAGUCAUGGGGUGCAUAGCGAUGUUUUGGCCUAUGACAGACUUCACACGCAGCACUGGUCCCACAAGAUUAUAAUGGAGCUGAAAAUUCCUGUCACUGGGAUUGUCUUUAUGAUCUUGACCCUGUGUUUCCCUAGGCCAAUGUGUGUGUUUGUGUCUUAGUUUUUAACAAAAAAGUUUAAAAAGUAAAAAAAAAAAAAAAAAAAGUUUUUAAAAAUAGAAAAAACUUACAGAAUAAGGAAAUAAAGACAACAUUUUGUACAGCUGUACAAUCUGUUUGUGUUUUAAGCUAAGUGUAACAAGAGUCAAAAAGCUUAAAAAUAUUAAAAUUCAUAAAGCAAAAAAGUUGUAGUAAGCUAAGGUUAAUUUAUUAUUAUUAAUUUUUUUUUUUUGAGAUGGAGUGUCACUC
RNAcentral lists this long non-coding RNA (3186 nucleotides) under Macaca mulatta (Rhesus monkey). RNAcentral's name for it is "lncRNA (ENSMMUG00000065062.1)". The record is from RNAcentral. Lineage: Eukaryota; Metazoa; Chordata; Mammalia; Primates; Cercopithecidae.